Molecule: ribosomal RNA, 301 nt
Filed under: uncultured bacterium
Lineage: Bacteria
Description: partial 16S ribosomal RNA
Rfam family: Bacterial small subunit ribosomal RNA
Source: RNAcentral
CAGUCGCCGCGGUAAUACGGAGGGUGCAAGCGUUACUCGGAAUUACUGGGCGUAAAGCGUGCGUAGGUGGUGGUUUAAGUCCGUUGUGAAAGCCCUGGGCUCAACCUGGGAAUUGCAGUGGAUACUGGGUCACUAGAGUGUGGUAGAGGAUAGUGGAAUUUCCGGUGUAGCAGUGAAAUGCGUAGAGAUCGGAAGGAACAUCUGUGGCGAAGGCGACUAUCUGGGCCAACACUGACACUGAGGCACGAAAGCGUGGGGAGCAAACAGGAUUAGAUACCCCAGUAGUCCCUGUCUCUUAUAC